UGGGGAAUAUUCCGCAAUGGACGAAAGUCUGACGGAGCAAUGCCGCGUGAGUGAUGAAGGCCUUUGGGUCGUAAAACUCUGUCUUUGGGGAUGAAACCAUUAUGUGUUAAUACCACAUAGUAUUGACAGUACCCGAGGAGGAAGCCCCGGCUAACUACGUGCCAGCAGCCGCGGUAAUACGUAGGGGGCGAGCGUUAUUCGGAAUUACUGGGUGUAAAGGGUAUGUAGGCGGCCCUUCAAGUCGCGUGUCAAAGUCCAGUGCUCAACGCUGGGUGUGCACGCGAUACUGACGGGCUUGAGGGCUGGAGAGGUGAGCGGAAUUCCCGGUGUAGUGGUAAAAUACGUAGAGAUCGGGAGGAACACCAGCGGCGCAGGCGGCUCACUAGACAGUUUCUGACGCUAAGAUACGAAAGCGUGGGGAGCAAACA
This 428-nucleotide ribosomal RNA is filed under the name uncultured prokaryote. RNAcentral's name for it is "bacterial SSU rRNA". It matches the Rfam family "Bacterial small subunit ribosomal RNA", at positions 355 to 774 of the family's 1533-position model. The record is from RNAcentral.